GAAAUUAUUUUCAUAUUUAACCAAAGAUUAUUUUGUUGCUAAUAAUAAUAGAAAAGAUAAAUAAAUAAAUAAUAAUAAAAACAAUAUAAGGGCAAUGUUGAUGGCUGUAGUGGAGAGAAGCAGUUCACGCAGCCGCCGAGGAAAAAAAAUUAGAAAAGAGUUGGGCGAGAAUUACGUCUUCUUCCGGUGGUUGGAAAAAAUGAAUUUUUCUUCAGAUUGCUUGAGUUGGAAGUUCAGCAAAAGGGGAAAAUCCAAGUCUCGGAGUGAAUUCUCGAUUAAUUGAGGCAAGUGGAUUUCUAAACUCUUGUUAAGUGUAUGAAAUGCGUGUAUUUUCUUGUGGUAUAUGUUUGGGAGUAACGGGAUUGGUGAUGGAUUGACUUGUCCACAUUGAUUAAUUUAAUGAUGAAAAAAAAAGGAUAAAAAAAAAGGCAAUGUGAUUAAAUAUUUAAGUGUGAUGUGUUCAGAAAGGGAUGAAGGAUUGUUGAAUCAUUGUUGAUGUGAUUUCAUGUUUGUGUGGUUUUGAAUUGUGCAAUGUUAUGAAAA
Non-coding RNA from Solanum lycopersicum (tomato), 543 nucleotides. The record is from RefSeq and is a predicted model, not a curated record. Lineage: Eukaryota; Viridiplantae; Streptophyta; Magnoliopsida; Solanales; Solanaceae.